This 918-nucleotide ribosomal RNA is filed under the name uncultured bacterium. Its description in RNAcentral is "bacterial SSU rRNA". It matches the Rfam family "Bacterial small subunit ribosomal RNA", at positions 246 to 1155 of the family's 1533-position model. The record is from RNAcentral.
UAGUUGGUGGGGUAAAGGCCUACCAAGGCGACGAUCUGUAGCGGGUCUGAGAGGAUGAUCCGCCACACUGGAACUGAGACACGGUCCAGACUCCUACGGGAGGCAGCAGUGGGGAAUUUUGGACAAUGGGGGCAACCCUGAUCCAGCCAUGCCGCGUGAGUGAAGAAGGCCUUCGGGUUGUAAAGCUCUUUCGUCCGGGAAGAAAUCGCACAGGCUAAUACUCUGUGUGGAUGACGGUACCGGAAUAAGAAGCACCGGCUAACUACGUGCCAGCAGCCGCGGUAAUACGUAGGGUGCGAGCGUUAAUCGGAAUUACUGGGCGUAAAGCGUGCGCAGGCGGUUUUGUAAGACAGGCGUGAAAUCCCCGGGCUCAACCUGGGAACUGCGCUUGUGACUGCAAGGCUAGAGUACGGCAGAGGGGGGUGGAAUUCCACGUGUAGCAGUGAAAUGCGUAGAGAUGUGGAGGAACACCGAUGGCGAAGGCAGCCCCCUGGGCCGAUACUGACGCUCAUGCACGAAAGCGUGGGUAGCAAACAGGAUUAGAUACCCUGGUAGUCCACGCCCUAAACGAUGUCAACUAGGUGUUGGGUGGGUAAAACCAUUUAGUACCGUAGCUAACGCGUGAAGUUGACCGCCUGGGGAGUACGGCCGCAAGGUUAAAACUCAAAGGAAUUGACGGGGACCCGCACAAGCGGUGGAUGAUGUGGAUUAAUUCGAUGCAACGCGAAAAACCUUACCUACCCUUGACAUGUCCGGAAUCCCUGAGAGAUCGGGGAGUGCCCGAAAGGGAAUCGGAACACAGGUGCUGCAUGGCUGUCGUCAGCUCGUGUCGUGAGAUGUUGGGUUAAGUCCCGCAACGAGCGCAACCCUUGUCGUUAAUUGCCAUCAUUUAGUUGGGCACUUUAGCGAGACCGCCGG